ACUAUGCCAAGUCAAAAAUAUUUGCUAUCUGGCCCUUUAAGAGAAAAACCUUGCCGACUGCUGCUAUAGAGACGUGUUAUAGGUGGGAAUACUGAGGCACGGAAAGGUUACUUGUUAGCUAACAACACAAGCAGCAGAGAGGGGAGUCACACCAAGCAGCAGGAGUUGGGGGCUCAGCACUGGUGCUGACCUGACCGCUUCCCAGACCGCGUCGGUCCGACAGGGCGUGGGAACCUGUGAGAACCUGUACCCCGGGGAAGACGGCAGCCCUGGCAGAGCUCCGUGUAGAGGAGGGGUGCGAUUUCACUCGGGUGCUCAGAGGAAGCCUCUGGCUGAUGGCUGACAGUAGAUAGAUGAGUGAGAACGUGGUCCAGGUGAGAGGCGCUGGUGCCUACACCGGGCUGGGUUUCCCUCUGGGCCUCGUCCCUUCCCAUCUGCUGUGGCCUUGCGGGUGAAUUCUCCCUGCUUCCUCUUUCUCAGGCCUCUUGGUCUCCCCUCUUCCUCCAGGGUUUCAGUUCCUCCAUCUCUCCCCUCCCCGUCCCAGGUCCUGGGUCCUUGUGCACGGGUGCCCUGGGGGAGGGCUGUGUGGGGGUAAGGCUCCUUUGCCCGUGUGUAGCCCUAGGUCUGGGUGAGUGGGCCCAGUGUGGUCACUCCUCCUGCCACAGGUCUGGGAGCCACAGAGGGUGGGGUGGGGAGGGAGCAGGAAGUGCUCCCUAUGCCGGGACAUGGAGCCAUUGUCACUGGCCCCCCGUGUGGAGACAUUUGAAAGGACACCGUGACCCACUGCAGCCCCAUGGCGCACGUGCGCGAAUAUUCACACACACGGGUUGAAGUACAGACAGUGUCCCACAGCCACGCAAACACACUGAGCUCCCGGGAGCCACGGCGAGCACACGGAAACCCCUGCAGGACGCCUGGCAGCAGGCACAGCCACCGCGUGCCACCCCUUUACACCCACAUAGCCCACCUGGAGCUUGACUGGGACCCUGCACAGUAAAGCAGAGACUUUAGCAGGGACACGGCAAAACUCACUCACACAAACACAUUCUGCAGGGUCACGCUCGCAACCACCACACACCAUAGAUUGAGAGACAGUGCCACACACCCACCCCACCCCCUCACAGCACGAGGAAGUGAAACAGCCUCUGGCAGAGACCCAUCAGCAGUUACACAAACAUCCUCCUUCGCUGGGGUCAGUCACAGGCACAAAUGCACACACACACACACGACCUGACCCGUCCGUCCCCCGAGCACACACCACACACAGAGAUCUGACACGUCGUGAUCGCACAGACUGCCAGGCGGUCGUGCCCACUUGGUCUGACAUUUCGUGGCCCCACACACUCAGGCCUGGGGCGUCCCACGCGACCUGGCAGGCAGCAGCCAUCCCGUCACAGCCAGACACUCGGUCACGCCCCCGGUCCCAGACGGAGCAGUCCCACACACUCGGACACACCCCCAGGGUCGCGGCCCUCACACGCCCAGCUCGUGCCUGGGCCCCAGGACAAGUCCUGGCUGUGUACUAGGAUUCAGUCACACUCCUGGUGCCUGAGCGCUGGCCACUCCCUCGUGACACACCCGCCCACCUGCCUGCCGCCUUGAAGGAAACUUGCAGGGUCAGCACCUUCUCACCACGACGGCUCCCUCACGUCUGCGUGGAAGAUGGCCUGGUGCCAGAGGAGGGCCCCCAGACGUCAGCUGCCGCCACCCCCGCAGCUAGCCUCCACCUCCCCGUCUGAGGACGUCUGUCACCUGCCCACCCUGCGGGGCCUGGCAGCCGGCAGGCAGGCCCCAGAGAGCUCUCUCGGACUCUUGUGGCUCUAGAGCUGCAUUUCCAUCGCCGAUGACCAGUCCCCUCCACGAGCUGAGUCCCUAGUUUCGAGGGACGUCUGGGGUACUCGGUGCAGCCUCAGGUACCUUGCGGGAGCCUGGCACAAAGUAAAACUGCCCAGAAAACACA
Long non-coding RNA from Artibeus jamaicensis (Jamaican fruit-eating bat), 1960 nucleotides. RefSeq lists it as uncharacterized. The record is from RefSeq and is a predicted model, not a curated record. The transcript is spliced from 2 exons. NCBI's taxonomy places the organism in Eukaryota, Metazoa, Chordata, Mammalia, Chiroptera, Phyllostomidae.